Molecule: long non-coding RNA, 5576 nt
Organism: Lytechinus pictus (painted urchin)
Lineage: Eukaryota; Metazoa; Echinodermata; Echinoidea; Temnopleuroida; Toxopneustidae
Exons: 3
Source: RefSeq, a predicted model, not a curated record
GGGCUCCAAUUUCAAUUUUUUGUAAAAUUUCGGAGGCUCCUUUUUGCAAUUCGAGGGCUCUUUUCAAAUGACACUUUUUUGUAUUUUGAGGAAUACCUGUUCACUUAUUCCUUAUUGUUAAUAUCGUAUGAUUUUUGAAAAAAAUAUUUUUUUAAAGAAUAAUUUUAAAGUUAUUUUUUUCAUGCUUAGAAUAUUGGAUGUGGGUGUGUUUGUGUGGGUGUGACUGUGAGUUGGACUUGGUUAUACAUGCAAGUCAAAGAAAUGAAUUCAAUAUCUAAUUUCUACUCCGUCUAUUCCAGUAUAAUUACUCGGCCAUGUAGUAACUAAUAUGUACUGUAGGCCCACAUACCCUAACUUUUCCUGAAGUUCUUUGAAAACACAGAUCUCCAUGAAAAUUGCAUUUCUCUAUGGGGAAGUCUAAAUUCGGUGAGAAUGUGUUCAUUAAUAACUUAAAUAUACAUGACAAUGAAGAAAUCAUCAAACUUUAUUGGCAGUUUUAAAUAAUAUACCUGAAAUGUAAACUCUAGAUAUCUGAAACAGAAAAUCACCAUCAUUGAGGCCUUUACAGAGCGAAUUGUCCCCCAGAGCUCAGACUGGCUAGCUAGUACAUGAGCCAAUGCGUGCGUGCGUGAGCCUCCCGCCGGCCUUGUAAAAUAUCUAUGGAACUUUGUUUGAUAAUUUGUCUGAUAUUUACCUCAUCCCCUAGAACAAUAAAACAAAUGAUUUUUAAGUUAUGAUUCACAAAUAAGGUAAGUUAUUUUGGAUGUUAAUACAUGUAGGCUCCGUUUAGACAAGCAAAGCCGAAUGACAACUCACCAAUGCCAUGCGUGGUUACUGGACUCUGGGAUUUAUCUCCUGUGUAAUUUAAAUUAUUAUUUUAUCACAGGAUUGUGAUAUCUGUAGCGGGAAUAUGUGCAUUAGAAAUUGCACAUGGUAGUAGUCAUAAUGGACCCCUAUAGUUGCAACUGUUUCCGGACUGUUGCGUUGAUUUUUUUUCCAUACCAUGUGUAUGGAAAAACUUGGUACAGAAAAAAAGACGCAACUUGGGAAUAUGAAACUGUGUCCUAGCUAUUUUCAAGGCUUGUUCAUGACUGCGGAGUUUUGAUGAUUUUUAAAUGGCAAACGGAGCUCGAGCAUAUGGCGCUAGGGGCCCGCUGAGUUAUCGCUCGGCAAUAAUUUUGGGGGCGACUUCCAGAUUUUAUGUCACCCCCGAAAGCAUGAUUUUUGGUGAUUUCGAGGGCGACUUUAGGCAUUUCCGGGGAGAAUUCGCCCGCCGCCCCCGUGUAUUUUUUUCCCUGCCCUCCACGAAAAACAGUUAUUUUCGUGCGUGACAAAUUACAUCAUGAUUCUGGACGCGCGCCGUACGGGUAAAGAUAUUCUUGAUUAUAAUGAUGUAAGAAAGAAUUGGUGUGAAUUUUUCUUCAUAUAUAAUUAUGAGUAAAUUCUAAUUUUUUUGUUUGCUUUUUUUAUAUCGAAUCUAAGCAGAUGUUGGUAAUAAAUUUGUGUUUGCUAACUAAUUUUUUUUUUUAAAGUUCUGCGUGUUCCAUGGCACUUUCCAAUAUUAUGCUCGUUUGUAUUGUGACGCUCAUUGCAUAAAGUUCUAUCGACGCGCUGUCGAUCGUCGACGGCUCUAAUCACAGUAAACCUCGCGCACGGUACCUUGAGAACUAGCCGUCGACUAUCACCAACAAUACACCACACCUCAACAUUCGAUCGAAGGAGCAGACAAGAUUGAAAUUCGGCAAAUCAGGCCCAUAUUUCCGUCAGAAAAUAUAUUAAUUGUUAAUGCAAAACUAUGAUAUUUUAAGCAUUUUAUCAUUCAUUAGAAUCUAGAGAUAAAUAAGGUAAAACUAAAACUUUGAUUUUUUUUUCGCCUUGUUUUUGCAAUCUUAAUGUAUUGCUCUGUGAAAUUGAACUGCGGAAGUCCUAUGGUAAAAUAUUUUUUUUACGCACUAAUAACAUGCGUGUCCGGAAUCAUGAUAGUGUCCGGUAAUACAAUACGUGACUAUAGUGUGUGUGUAUUUGAGUUUUGUCAGACGUGUAUCAAUCAGAUAUGAUUAUUUACGUCUGGGACCGACCUUUAACGUCACCAUCCGAAAGACGUGACCAAGGCUCGAACCUCGAACCUCUGCAUCAAUUUGUAACUUCCCCACAUAGCUUGGAUUACAGGCGCACACCACAACUAGCCUGGAGACUUAAUUCUGGGGAGUAAAAGUCAUCUACUAUAAAAGUAGAAGAGAGUUUACUUACAUCUGUUGUCGUCGCCAUCUUGACUCCAUUGUUAUUGCAACCUAGUUACGUGACGCGUAUAGAGGGCGGCAAAAUCAUGAGCGGUGCUAGAUUAAAAAGUGCUAAAAUGUCCCGCUAGCACUUCAACUUGCGAGUUGAAGCAAACUCUCUUCUACUUUUAUUAUUUUAUCGCAUUUUAGUGUCAUUUUAUAACCAUAACUAUCAAUUUUUUUGCCAAACGUCGCCAACCAAUAUUUUUACCCAUGAUGUACAGAAGUGUUGCUGUUAAUUUUGUUAUUAACCUCAGAUUCUAAACAUAACUAGCAGUUUGGCGCAUUUUUAUAGUUGCCUUUUUGGUUGGUGCGUGGGAGCCAAUACAUAGCCGUGCCAGGCUUCAUGGGGGAGUAAGCCUACGUAUAGUAGAUGACUUUUACUCCCAGAAGCCUCCAGGCUAGCCACAACGCCCAGUUUGCGAGGUUAGGAUAUGCUAUACGAACCUCGCACAACCAACGUGUUUUUGUAGUGGAUUUUAGAGUUGUCAUUAACAUCGCUUCAUAACAUGAAUGAUGUUAGCCGAAACCCAUUCCGCUACUCACCAGGGCUUUUUCUGGUAGAAAGCGUUCCAUUAUCAAUUUUUAACAUAUUUUUUUAAUUUAAAAAGGACACAAAAAAGAGCAAAAUCACUUACCUCCGCCUGGAAAGUGGCUUCGCACGUCUCUUCCACGGAAAUAAAAGGAAGGUCGUUGGUGGCGCUAAUACAGUUCGCAACCUUAAUUCAGCUUGGUGGUAUUUUUAAAACUAGAUUCAUGAUUCAUUGUAUGCACAAUUCCAAUAAUUGUUUGAUAAAAUAGAGACCCCAAUAAAUGCAAUAACUUUUUUUUUAAACUUUAUUUUUGCUGACGAUAAUACUUUUUGGAAAAUAUUCAAAACGAUGACAAAUUAAACAAAAAAUAUAGAAAAUUCUAUGUACCUUGUCCUUGAACAAAGCCCCGCAAGUGCUACCGUUCGUUUGUCAAUUAACGUUCCACCAAAGUCUUACAGUUUUGCAUCGAUUUACGUGUAAGAUAAUUUCUGUGUCUAGUCUUUCAAUUGUACUUUUGUAGUGUCUUUGAUAUGAAGAUAAAUCGCGCGCCCUCUUUCGCUCAUUAGACGAAAAAUUUGAGAGCUAGAAAGGUAGCUCUCGUAUUUUGUCAACGAGAAGAAAAAUCAACGCUUAAAAGUUAAAAUACUUAAAUGACGCAUUUUGUCUUUUUUGAGGGAUAUUCAUCAAAUUAUGAGGAAUUGACUUCACAUCGUUUCGUAAGUUUCGUAGGACUUCAUUCUAUAAGUCCUCGUAUUAAUUUUUUGUAAAUUAACGUUAUUUGUUGAAUGCGCCGUGCCUUCAAUUAUUCUGUAGUCGGCGGCUGAGAUGUAGUAGGGUGUCUGAAGCCACACUGAAAAGUGUCAGCAUAAAACAGGCUAAUUUAGGGGAAAAUAUGGCACAUUUUUUCAGGGAAGUUCAGGCUACUAGAAAAAUGUGAUCUGAAUUGAUUAUUAACUUGUGUUUGGCAUGUAUGAAAAGAGAAAAUUCAGGGGCAUCUUUUGACAGUAAGGACAAGUUUAUAUGAUCAUUUUAAAUAAGGAUUUAGAGAUAAAUUGUAAACCCUUAUUUUUGUGUGUGUUGAGAUUGCCAUUUCUCCAUACGUUUUCUAUGGGAAAAUGAAAUUUCUGUUUUGCACAAUUUUUUUCACUUUGUCGCAAUUUUUCAUUGUGAUCUGGUUUCCAAAUCUUUAUGAAAAUCAUACCAUCAGAUAGAGCAUAAAAAAUCCUAUUGGACUCUUUAUGGACAAGUUUUUGGCAUUAAUAAUAAAUUUAUAACAGCUCUCGGAAGCUAAAAAUUUGGAUUUGUGUGUGUCCAUUUCUUAACUACACAGUCUAUGGCAGAGAAAUGCUGAAAAUUUACCUAAUUUCAUUCUUCUUUUUUGCAGCCAAUAAUUGGAUUUUUUUCAAAAUUUUUACAUUUCUGUCAGUCUGAAGGUCAUUUCUCUUCAAAUUCACAAAGAAAAUGUGAUAUUUUCUUGAAAUAAGAAAAAUAAUUUUUUUCUCCAGACACCCUAGAUGUAGCCGUGGGUGAGUUAGAUCUACAGUAUACCCAGUUGUUGUGUGUCCGGACAGGUUGUGUGUCCGGACGAUCAAUUUUAUUUUUAGAAAGUAGGCCCUAAUUUGGAAAAAUUUACAAGCGAAGUUUCAUCAAUUUUUAGUUCAAAAUGUUAGGAAAUAUUAGAGAGAACAAAAUUGAAGAUGAUUAUAACUAUUGAAUUAAUAUUUUUAGUGUAAUCCAAAGACAAAAAAGAAGGCUUCAAAAAUAUAAAGUGUCCGGACCCGAUCCCCCAUCCUACACUCCAGACUAAUCUAACCUAACCAGCACAAAACCUAGCGAAUGGGACUGCACUGAAUAUUGCUUACAACAACCCUUAAUUUCGAUUUGUCUCAUGGCAAGAGUCAAUAUAAAUAUACUGCUUUUACAAUAACGCAUGUCUGCAACGUUACAAUAUCCAUGAGAACAGUAUAAUCAAAACAUGUCUCUAAAGAAAAUAUAAAAAACUUUCAUACCCGGAAUUACGUUCCUCCCCUGCGAAUUAGCACUUCUCUGGGGUGUUGCAAGAAAGUUACGUUGCAAUUGAUUGCAAAUCGACUGCAACUUUGCAGCCGAUCCCGAUCGACUGCAACUAGCAAUCAAUCGCCAAUUUGCGUUGCAAGAAAAAGGCUUGCGAUUGAACGCAAGUUGCAGCUGAUUUGCAGCUGUAAACAGGGUCUGCAGCACAAGACUAGCUGAUGAAGCAAAAUAAUCCUUGCAAUAAUCGUGAUUGUGGAAGAGAUUAUGACAAGGAAGUCUGGAAUAAACCGAACCACCAUAACUGUGUCUGCUACCAUGUGUGUUCUUGCAACCAGCUGAUUGAUUCAUUUUAUCAACUCUUGAAUGGUUGAUUAUCAGAACUGAAUUCAGAGCUGCUCCUGUCUGUAGUAAGAUCAUUUAGAGUGGACUUCAGAAUGAGGGCGUUGCUUGUUUAAAAUCUUCACUCCAUGAAGCUCUCCAAAUUCAUCUCAAAUUAGACUGCUUCUGGAAACCAGAUUUGUUCCUUCAAGCAGAGACGCUUGUGGCUUUCCUGACUGGACUUCUAUGGAUUCUUCAUGCCAACCUUAAGGACUGUGGUCUUCUGCAUGAUAGGUCAAUUUCAAACAAGACAUUCUGUGGUGAAACACUUGAUGUAGAUGAUAUGAAAUUUUAUUUCAUAUAACUGAAUCUCAGAAGUAAUUCCUCGGGAGCAAGAAACAUUGAAAAAUAAAAAUAAAAGGUCCAUCAAUAA